RNAcentral lists this ribosomal RNA (522 nucleotides) under uncultured Acidobacteriota bacterium. RNAcentral describes it as "bacterial SSU rRNA". It matches the Rfam family "Bacterial small subunit ribosomal RNA", at positions 384 to 896 of the family's 1533-position model. The record is from RNAcentral. Lineage: Bacteria; Pseudomonadati; Acidobacteriota.
UGACGACGCAACGCCGCGUGGAGGAUGAAGACUUUCGGGUCGUAAACUCCUUUCGACCGAGAUGAAUUCCCGCCGGCCUAACAUGCCGGCGGGGUGACAGUAUCGAGGGAAGAAGCCCCGGCUAACUCCGUGCCAGCAGCCGCGGUAAUACGGGGGGGGCAAGCGUUGUUCGGAAUUACUGGGCGUAAAGGGUUCGUAGGUGGCCAACUAAGUCAGACGUGAAAUCCCUCAGCUUAACUGGGGAACUGCGUCUGAGACUGGAUGGCUCGAGUGCAGGAGAGGAACGCGGAAUUCCAGGUGUAGCGGUGAAAUGCGUAGAUAUCUGGAGGAACACCGGUGGCGAAGGCGGCGUUCUGGACUGCAACUGACACUGAGGAACGAAAGCCAGGGGAGCAAACGGGAUCAGAUACCCCGGUAGUCCUGGCCCUAAACGAUGAAUGCUUGGUGUGGCGGGUAUCGAUCCCUGCCGUGCCGCAGUUAACGCGUUAAGCAUUCCGCCUGGGGGGUACGGUCGCAAGGCUG